Molecule: ribosomal RNA, 468 nt
Filed under: uncultured bacterium
Lineage: Bacteria
Description: partial 16S ribosomal RNA
Rfam family: Bacterial small subunit ribosomal RNA
Source: RNAcentral
GACGAACGCUGGCGGCGUGCUUAACACAUGCAAGUCGAACGGAAAGGCCCUGCUUUUGUGGGGUGCUCGAGUGGCGAACGGGUGAGUAACACGUGAGUAACCUGCCCUUGACUUUGGGAUAACUUCAGGAAACUGGGGCUAAUAUCGGAUAGGAGCUCCUGCUGCAUGGUGGGGGUUGGAAAGUUUCGGCGGUUGGGGAUGGACUCGCGGCUUAUCAGCUUGUUGGUGGGGUAGUGGCUUACCAAGGCUUUGACGGGUAGCCGGCCUGAGAGGGUGGCCGGCCACAUUGGGCCUGCGAGACGGACCAGACUGCUACGGGAGGCAGCAGUGGAGAAUAUUGCACAGUGGGCGGAAGCGUGAUGCAGCAACGCCGCGAGCGGGAUGACGGCCUUCGGGUUGUAAACCGCUGUCGCCUGUGACGAAGCGUGAGUGACGGUAAUGGGUAAAGAAGCACCGGCUAACUACGUG